CAAAUGCCUUUUAUGUCACAUGACUUAAACCUCUGAGAAAAAGUUCAAUUUCAGUGAGAUAAGAGUAAGAUGUCUUAAAGAGCAUUAACCCACAUGAUUUCUGGGUAGUCAAUCAAGAGCAUUGUUUUCUACAAAAUGUUUGAAGUGUAAUGUUCAUUGCUGUUAUGGUUUGGAUGUGAGGUGUCCCCCAAUAGCUCACAUGUGCGACAAUGCAAGAAAGUUUGGAGGAGAAAUGAUUGAGUUAUAGCCUUAACUAGUCAGUGAGUUAAUCCCUAAUGGGAUUAACUGAAGUGGUAGGGUGUGCCUGGAGGAGGUGGGAAUUGGAGUGUGGCUUUGAUAUAUAUUUGUAUCUGGAGAAUGGAGUCUCUCUCUUUGCUUCCCAGUGUGAGCUGCUUCCCUCUGCCACACUCUCUCACCAUGAUGUUCUGCCUCACCUUGAGCCCUGAGGAAUGGAGCCAGCCUUCUAUGGACUAAGACCUCUGAAACUGUGAGCCCUCAAAUAAACUAUUCCUCUUUUACAGUUAUUCUGGUCAGAUCCUUUAGUUACAGCAGCGAAAAAGCUGACUAAAACAAUUGCUUCUAGGAGUUUUCUUCAGCAGGGAAAAAAUGGUUUAUACUGGUAACUACACUUGUCUGAUACCUUGGUUUCCAUGGGUAACCUACAGUUAACAGUUAAAAAUGUGUAAAUUAGAUUUAAUAUGAAUGGAUUAAUCUUCAUAAAUGUAUUUGUUAAAAGAGAUGUCUGACUAAUUUGCAAAGUUAAAAUACUAAAACAUCAACUACUAAAUAAAAAUUCAAGUACUCUUGGCUUCUUGAAUUCCAUAAAGCAAUAUACAUUUGGUUCUAUUAAAUGUGUUUUUAUAAAUUGAUAAGUAGAAAAACAGUUUAAGAUGCCUUUGUUUCUGGGUCUCCACUAAAAGUAAGAUUAGUAAGAGUUAAAAUUCUAACAGGUAUAAUUCUGUAUGCAAAGAGUACAAAAAGUUUCAGCUGUG
This 992-nucleotide long non-coding RNA is filed under the name Marmota monax (woodchuck). Lineage: Eukaryota; Metazoa; Chordata; Mammalia; Rodentia; Sciuridae. The record is from RNAcentral.